RNAcentral lists this ribosomal RNA (395 nucleotides) under Pulchriphyllium giganteum. RNAcentral's name for it is "Phyllium giganteum partial s-rRNA". The record is from RNAcentral. Lineage: Eukaryota; Metazoa; Arthropoda; Insecta; Phasmatodea; Phylliidae.
AUAUUCUUUAAACCUAAAGAGUUUGGCGGUAUUUUAUUCUUUUCAGAGGAAUUUGCCCCUUAAUCGAUAGUCCCCGUUUUAUCUUGCUUUAUUUAUUUAGUAUGUAUAUCGCCGUUAUAAGGUUAUUUUAUUAGAAUUAUUUUCUUUAAUCAUUAUUUUGAUUUAUUUCAGGUCAAGGUGCAGCUUAUGAUUUAGUGGAAGAGUGAAUUACAAUAUUUUAUGGGUAUACGGAUUUUAUAUUUAAAAUUUUAAUUAAGGUGGAUUUGAUAGUAAUUUUAAUGAUAGAGUUAUUUUGACUAUGGCCCUAUAAUAAGUACAUAUUGCCCGUCAUUCUCAUUAUUUGAGACAAGUCGUAACAUAGCGGUCGUACUGGAAGGUGUGUCUGGGAUUAAUUA